RNAcentral lists this transfer RNA (73 nucleotides) under Apaloderma vittatum (bar-tailed trogon). It matches the Rfam family "tRNA". Rfam says of the family: Transfer RNA (tRNA) molecules are approximately 80 nucleotides in length. Their secondary structure includes four short double-helical elements and three loops (D, anti-codon, and T loops). The record is from Rfam by way of RNAcentral. Lineage: Eukaryota; Metazoa; Chordata; Aves; Trogoniformes; Trogonidae.
GGCCAGUUAGCUCAGUCAGUUACAGCGUGGUGCUGAUAAUGCCGAGGUCGUGGGUUCGACCCCCAUUUGGUCC